This 305-nucleotide ribosomal RNA is filed under the name Calvia quattuordecimguttata (cream-spotted lady beetle). RNAcentral describes it as "eukaryotic LSU rRNA". It matches the Rfam family "Eukaryotic large subunit ribosomal RNA", at positions 645 to 918 of the family's 3401-position model. The record is from RNAcentral. Lineage: Eukaryota; Metazoa; Arthropoda; Insecta; Coleoptera; Coccinellidae.
UGACCCGUCUUGAAACACGGACCAAGGAGUCUAGCGUGUGCGCGAGUCAUUGGGAAAAACUAAACCUAAAGGCGAAAUGAAAGUAAACGUCCGCCUUGUGCGGACCGAGGGAAGAUGAUCGGCCUACAUGGCCGAUCCGCAUUCCCGGGGCGUCUCAUUCUCAUUGCGAGACGAGGCGCACCAAGAGCGUACACGCUGGGACCCGAAAGAUGGUGAACUAUGCCUGGUCAGGACGAAGUCAGGGGAAACCCUGAUGGAGGUCCGUAGCGAUUCUGACGUGCAAAUCGAUCGUCGGAACUGGGUAU